RNAcentral lists this unclassified non-coding RNA (5178 nucleotides) under Orbicella faveolata. RNAcentral describes it as "uncharacterized LOC110068826, transcript variant X3". The record is from RNAcentral. Lineage: Eukaryota; Metazoa; Cnidaria; Anthozoa; Scleractinia; Merulinidae.
GUGUAAGGUGAUCAAAGCGUCAUCUCAGAGAUAUUCAUUUCAAUAUCGCUGUGAGUUAGAGAUAAGUGGUUUUGUCUUUAGAAGUUUCUUGAAAAGAAUAAAAUUAUAUUCUCGUUUGAGAUCGGGUUCAUUUCGCCACCAGUUUUUCGCUCCGCCUAUAAGGUGUGAUUCUUCGUUUAAAUAUAUGUAAGAGGAAAACGAGUGAAACGGUCAGGCUACGUCGCUUAAAAACCACCUGUUAAUUGGAAAGGAAAAGAGAGGCCAAAUUUCAACUAUGAAACUUAAUGCGCGUGAAUACACCAAACAAACCAAAUCGCUUAGUAAACUGUUUGAUAUUCUGUCACCUAGUGGUGUUCAUGUGAGAAAUCCUGUGAAAUCCGAUUGUGUUAAAGAACAUCAAAAUCGUGACCAGCCCCUGAGGGCAACCUUAAAUCUUUUGGGACUGCUAUUGUACAACGUAGAACUGACAAGCAACGGGUUUUGCAUGUGAUGAAAAUAUUGUGUUACGGGCACAAUAAGUUUUACACGUUGUUCAAUGGCGCUUCGCUUGGAAAAACGCCAAUCUUGCCACAAGUUCACACUGUUUUUGACGCGAAAAUAUGUUGUGAAUAGAGCUCCAGACACUGGCGAUGGUUAAAGACUGAUGUUUAGCUCAGAAUUUAAUAAAUAAACACCGCAUGUGGUACAAGGCUUUAACUGUGCAAGGGAUUAGAUGGAAUGUUUAACCAAAAGGGAACCUAUGGGUUGAAAACGCUUUUACUAUAUCGUGGCAAAAGCGAAAUUGAAUUCCACGGAAAAAAUUUAUGCCCGAAGAUUGAAAGGAAAAUUUCGCUUCAAGGAACAGGUAGCAUUCAAAAGAAGCUCUGUUCUUCAAUAGAAUUAAUAAAAAUUAGGAAUAAAAGUCGUCUUGUAUCAACAAAAAGAGUAAGUUCCCUUAAACGAAAAUGUGACUCGUUGAAAUGCAUCCAUGUCGUGAACUUGACAAAUAUUUUAAUAUUUGCGGCGCACUUAGUGGCUCAAUAACCUUGAAAUGUAAUUUUUCACCUUAAAGGACUGGCCGACCUAAAUUGGAUGAAUUAUUCAUGUCGUCUGAAAGCAAACGGGAAAAACGCUUUCCCUUUAUCUUUUACAUGACGGAAAGGUUGCUUUGUUCUACACGAAAGCUGGUGUAUAUCUUGGGUAGAUAUGAAAUGGUAUUACUGCUUGAUGGUAGUAAACGGAGAAAAAGUUUGCUACCAAAACCCGCAAUUCCUCAGUGUUCACUUGUUUAAAAUAUUUCGAGAUUAUAGAGAACAUCUGUCUAGGAGAGACAGUGUUGCUUCAAGUGCUAAAAGCAACCACACAUUAAAGUGUAAUUCGAGGCUGGUCUCCUUGUAUUUCUGGCCGGGUAUCUUUACAAAUGUAGUUCCCUCGUUUGUAGUGCUAUAGGGCCCUUCAGGAGAAACAAGACCUCACUACUCAGCGAGACAACUGAACAGUAAGCUAAAGCUUAUCGGCGGAGACGUCGCUUUGCAGCAGAAGUUCCAGUAACAGACCUUGAUGACUGGGAGGGUUAUUUUGAAGGAAUGAAUUACUAUGAGGAGCUUUUGCACAUGGUUAAGCCAGAGAGCGAGAAGGACCGUAAUUGUUCAGGUAAGCCAGGAGACGUUAGAUGGCGGGAAUGACUGCUGAUGUAUUUUAAUUAAAGGGGCGUUUUCGUCAGCAGGUCCCACUUACAAUGUCAUGGUUUAAAUGAAUUUUCUGAGCUCACCGAAGACAAGACUGAGCAGUUAUUACGAAAGAGCGGAGCUACUCAGUUCUGAAUAAUGGCAACUUGUGUUAAGACGUACCUCUCUUUACAGCGCUGUAAAAAAGUAAUUGAACAACUGUUCUCCGACUAGCAGGUGUGUUACCUUGACAAAUACGAAAGGAGCGUUCACUUGCCUUGAAAUUACAAUUGUUUCUCUGAGAAACGACCACUUUGCUCUCCGGCGAAAAAAAUUGCAAUAACCGUUGUACUGAGGUUCAAUGAAAUAUCAAAAGGUAACAAUAACAUUUUUGUGAUAUUUCACUGCUACCGGGGAAAUAAGUAAAGCAAAUGAAACCCGAUCGCACGUAACCAACAGGCGGUUUCCUUGGAUGUCAAACCCUUUCUUCUCCGAUCCACGACUGAAUGCAAAUAAGAACUCCUAACCAUCGAAUUCGAUUGACAUACAAAUAUUUGGAAACAGAGUGGUCAUCUAAUAUUUUAAAAGUAAAAGAAAAAGGCAACAUCACAAAUCGACGUUUCGAAAAUGUUUAAAGAAAAAAAUUUAUGUCAGAUUUGAAUGUUGUCUGUCCAUUGCAACGGAUUUACCAGCGUUGUCGCAUUCACCAGGGAAAAUACGUCUCUUGGACAGCCCAGGACAAUGAAUAAAUAAGCAAUUGUUUCUGUGGUGAAGGCAAAACAACAUUUUCGCUUUUGGCGUCAUAACAGCUGCUUAAAAAUGCAUUCUACCUGUUUUCAUGGAACGCAGUGACACUCCCAAAAGGUUACGUAGGGUGCCAACUUGACAACGGCUAGGCAGCUCCGAGGGUUAAAAAAAAAAGAUAAUUAUCGAGGAAGAAAUAGAUCAUUUAGAGAGAAAAUAGUGAGUUGAGGUACAAAAGCUUUCUAAAAGUUCUCUUCACAUGCACUUAAAACGUCAGAUAUUUGUUACGCGAAGUGUUUUUCUUUUAUUUCCCGCUGCUAACCUUGUAUUGUACAAUCGAAGAAAGUAUACCGGACAAUGUCUGUAUAUGAGUAAACUGAAUUUAGGACCUUAGGGAAGAACAGUUUAUGAUACCGCAGCGAAAAUGUAAAAUAUAUAUUUUACAUAUAUUCAUGGUCCUCGAAGGGGGUGAGAAGAAAGAAUUCCGUUUUCGAACUUAUUUCAGUCAAAGAGUGAAUUCUAAUGAAGUUUGAAGUUAUUAAAGUAAUUUUUAUGUAUAAACUAAGUGCAAAAGUAAGGGUCAAGCGAUAAAACCUCUGCAAUUUUUGUCAUUAAAAGGAAGCACGUUUUUUGCUAAGGUUUCAUAUUACCCAGAGUCUUCAGUCGGGAGAUGAGAAGUUGUAAUGAAUUUUUGCUGUAAUAUCGGUACUUGUGAGUUGGUAGCGUAAUUGGCUGACGCAGACUGCACCAGAAUUUUGUCCAAUAGAUUUAAUUUUUGGCAAGCCAUUUUCCACGUGCGAGACGAACUCUUAAGAUUCAAGAGUCUUUGAAGGAAAUGCAAAGAGUCCUGGAUAAGAGCCAAAGAAGCGGAAAAAUAGCUACUCUUCAAGAAGAGAUUCCUACCUUCAGCUGUGCUGUGGAAGGCGCAUGCGAUGUUUUCCUUAAAGCUCGAGUUGGGUGGCUUAAAACGGUUUUAUAACAAACGCGGACCGUUUCAACUUGGUUUCCUGCCUCAGCUUGCUGCAGGGAAAAUGGGAAAUCGUGCUAGGGAGAUAAGUAUCUGAUUUAAAUAUAACUUGUGACAUGUGCCAUUCAUAAAUCAUUAAGAAACCCACUUUUAAAAGGGCGCACGUUGGAGAACCUUUUAAAACCUACAUUUGGCGGUUUCUUCCAAAGAACUUCGGAACUGGAAUUUUUUCGUUUGGGAGUUUGGCCUCAAUGAUUUACAGCUUAAACAAGAGGAAAUCGAAAAGACUGCACGCAUAUUCCUGAGUUCAUUUCCAGUUCUCCAAAUGCGGCUAAAAUGGCCCCAAACUGUCUAAGUCAACAUAGCUGCCCAAAUUAGCAGCUGACAAAGCAACAGCAGCAUUAGAACUUUUAAGCAAAACAAAAGCCUGCUUUCCCAAACAAUAAAGACUAGACACAUUUGGUUAGUCCCUGCCACACAGAAAAGUCAACUUUCUCUUUAAAACUUAUAGGAUGUGUGUUUUUCUUUUAUGUUUCAACAAGGAACAACUUGAAAUUUCAAGAAGGCUUGCCUAUGAAAUUGACUGCCAUUUAGAUUUUAGCAGAGACUAAAAGGCGGUCGAUACGACAGACACAAGGCCAAACCAAAAAGCUUAUUUGCGUUCUCUUUGAAUGCCGCAUUUAAAAUUCGUGUAUGCACAAAAAUAUCGUGGCAGUUUACCAAAAGAAGCUGUGAACAGGAAAUUCUCGGCAAACUGUAAAUACAGUUUACAGAGUCGAGGUGUAAAGACCACGCGGUCUAUUGUUGAGUUCCUUUUGUCCAAAAACACAAAAACAAUGGCGGCCUGCUAACUGUAACUACACGCUUCUUUCACGUUUUAGAUUACUCUUUAAUUUUGUUAUGAAAACAAAAUGCACUCUUCUUGUCGUGAACAAAUAUCUCAUUCAGCCGGCACAAAAGGAAAUUACACUUUCUAAAGCCGGUUAUUUUGCCUCGAUUAGUGAGCUAAUUUCACUGGAAUGGUGCAAUACCUUUAUUGUGGGUUGUGACUCUCCGUGUCUGCAGGGAAUGCGCUGAUCUGAGGUACGUUACGAGAACAUCGUUGUCAAAACUUGGGUACUUUUAAAAAUGGGAACUUUACAGCUGAUGUCAACAAAGAUUAAUUCGUCUUCCUUUCAUAAAAUGCCCUGACUUUUGAAGAUAAACUUUCCGAUUUACUUUAGUCCUCGUAAUGGCUUCCUACGGGCGUAUUACGUUUCUCUGUUUCCAUUCCAAAUGAUGGCAUUGUUUUUUUUUUCCUUCCCCUGUACAUCCUAAGUGGACAAGUGUGAGGAAAAAAUCUCGAGCAAUUUCUUGCUAUGAAAACAAACAACAAAGAGCUCGUCUUAACAUUAUUGUUGACCUAGAAUGGCUUCGCCCCAAGCCAAUGAAAUCCCUUGCUCGACAUCAAAUGAGUUUCAAAGUUUGCACAACGCAACUUUAUUAAUCGAACAUUUCCACUUUACAAACAUAAUACAAGGCUCUGCACGAAUCAAUGCAAGCAUUAAAAAGGGACAACUGAGUACACAGUGCGAUUCAACUUUUUUCCUGUUCUGUUCAAAAUAGCGCAACUUGUAUAUAUCUGAAGUGUACGAUGUUGGGGGAAAACAAAUACAAGUAAAGUAGCGUUGUACAACUACAGAAUAAUCUGAAUGGAUUAAGCAACAUUGAAAACGUUUCUAAAGCAAGUUUUAAUUUCGCUGACAAAAUGCAUUUGGAAUUGCUAAAAAUAUUGUAAAUUAGUACAGUGUGGGGAAAUUUUACGAUUUCUACAAAAAAAAA